Molecule: ribosomal RNA, 665 nt
Filed under: uncultured Bacilli bacterium
Lineage: Bacteria; Bacillati; Bacillota; Bacilli
Description: bacterial SSU rRNA
Rfam family: Bacterial small subunit ribosomal RNA
Source: RNAcentral
AAGUCGAGCGGACAGAAGGGAGCUUGCUCCCGGAAGUCAGCGGCGGACGGGUGAGUAACACGUGGGUAACCUGCCUGUAAGACUGGGAUAACUCCGGGAAACCGGGGCUAAUACCGGAUAAUAUCAAGAACCACAUGGUUAUUGAUUGAAAGGCGGCUUCGGCUGUCACUUACAGAUGGACCCGCGGCGCAUUAGCUAGUUGGUGAGGUAACGGCUCACCAAGGCGACGAUGCGUAGCCGACCUGAGAGGGUGAUCGGCCACACUGGGACUGAGACACGGCCCAGACUCCUACGGGAGGCAGCAGUAGGGAAUCUUCCGCAAUGGACGAAAGUCUGACGGAGCAACGCCGCGUGAGUGAAGAAGGUUUUCGGAUCGUAAAACUCUGUUGUCAGGGAAGAACAAGUACCGGAGUAACUGCCGGUACCUUGACGGUACCUGACCAGAAAGCCACGGCUAACUACGUGCCAGCAGCCGCGGUAAUACCGUAGGUGGCAAGCGUUGUCCGGAAUUAUUGGGCGUAAAGCGCGCGCAGGCGGCCUUUUAAGUCUGAUGUGAAAGCCCACGGCUCAACCGUGGAGGGUCAUUGGAAACUGGAAGGCUUGAGUGCAGAAGAGAAGAGCGGAAUUCCACGUGUAGCGGUGAAAUGCGUAGAGAUGUGGAGGAA